RNAcentral lists this long non-coding RNA (313 nucleotides) under Mytilus galloprovincialis (Mediterranean mussel). The record is from RNAcentral. Lineage: Eukaryota; Metazoa; Mollusca; Bivalvia; Mytilida; Mytilidae.
UUUACACCUUCUGAUUUUGCAUUUGUUCAACCCAUUAAUUGGUUUUGGCAAUUAUGCGGUUGGAACUUGAAGGCUUUACAGGUUUUCCUUCAGUCGAUUCUUUGGCAAUUCAGUUGAUGGGAAACAUUUAUGGCAUGAAUUUGUACUCAUCGGCACACGGCAAUUUGAUUAGCAGUUGACGUUGCUGCCGUAAACAUGUCUAGCAAAUGACGUUGCGUAAUCAAAUUCUGUUGACGUUUCAUUGUCACUACACGUUGAUCUGUUCAUUGAUGGCCAGCAACAAAUCUUGUCUACUUGUAUCGUUGUCGGCAGG